Molecule: transfer RNA, 73 nt
Filed under: Angiostrongylus costaricensis
Lineage: Eukaryota; Metazoa; Nematoda; Chromadorea; Rhabditida; Metastrongylidae
Rfam family: tRNA
About the family: Transfer RNA (tRNA) molecules are approximately 80 nucleotides in length. Their secondary structure includes four short double-helical elements and three loops (D, anti-codon, and T loops). Further hydrogen bonds mediate the characteristic L-shaped molecular structure. tRNAs have two regions of fundamental functional importance: the anti-codon, which is responsible for specific mRNA codon recognition, and the 3' end, to which the tRNAs corresponding amino acid is attached (by aminoacyl-tRNA synthetases). tRNAs cope with the degeneracy of the genetic code in two manners: having more than one tRNA (with a specific anti-codon) for a particular amino acid; and 'wobble' base-pairing, i.e. permitting non-standard base-pairing at the 3rd anti-codon position.
Source: Rfam by way of RNAcentral
UCCGUUGUGGUCUAGUGGUUAGGAUUUACGGCUCUCACCCGUANUGGCCCGGGUUCGAUUCCCGCCAACGGAA